This 431-nucleotide ribosomal RNA is filed under the name Salmonella enterica. RNAcentral's name for it is "bacterial SSU rRNA". It matches the Rfam family "Bacterial small subunit ribosomal RNA", at positions 20 to 447 of the family's 1533-position model. RNAcentral also lists the same sequence under 1 other name. The record is from RNAcentral. Lineage: Bacteria; Pseudomonadati; Pseudomonadota; Gammaproteobacteria; Enterobacterales; Enterobacteriaceae.
UGGCUCAGAUUGAACGCUGGCGGCAGGCCUAACACAUGCAAGUCGAACGGUAACAGGAAGCAGCUUGCUGCUUCGCUGACGAGUGGCGGACGGGUGAGUAAUGUCUGGGAAACUGCCUGAUGGAGGGGGAUAACUACUGGAAACGGUGGCUAAUACCGCAUAACGUCGCAAGACCAAAGAGGGGGACCUUCGGGCCUCUUGCCAUCAGAUGUGCCCAGAUGGGAUUAGCUUGUUGGUGAGGUAACGGCUCACCAAGGCGACGAUCCCUAGCUGGUCUGAGAGGAUGACCAGCCACACUGGAACUGAGACACGGUCCAGACUCCUACGGGAGGCAGCAGUGGGGAAUAUUGCACAAUGGGCGCAAGCCUGAUGCAGCCAUGCCGCGUGUAUGAAGAAGGCCUUCGGGUUGUAAAGUACUUUCAGCGGGGAGG